RNAcentral lists this ribosomal RNA (100 nucleotides) under Citrobacter sp. Cpo113. RNAcentral's name for it is "partial 23S ribosomal RNA". It matches the Rfam family "Bacterial large subunit ribosomal RNA", at positions 1 to 100 of the family's 2925-position model. The record is from RNAcentral. Lineage: Bacteria; Pseudomonadati; Pseudomonadota; Gammaproteobacteria; Enterobacterales; Enterobacteriaceae.
GGUUAAGCGACUAAGCGUAUACGGUGGAUGCCCUGGCAGUCAGAGGCGAUGAAGGACGUGCUAAUCUGCGAUAAGCGUCGGUAAGGUGAUAUGAACCGUU